UACGGAGGGGGCUAGCGUUGUUCGGAAUGACUGGGCGUAAAGCGCGCGUAGGCGGAUCAGAAAGUUGGGGGUGAAAUCCCGGGGCUCAACCUCGGAAUGGCCUUCAAAACUCCUGGUCUUGAGGUCGAGAGAGGUGAGUGGAAUUCCGAGUGUAGAGGUGAAAUUCGUAGAUAUUCGGAGGAACACCAGUGGCGAAGGCGGCUCACUGGCUCGAUACUGACGCUGAGGUGCGAAAGCGUGGGGAGCAAACAGG
Molecule: ribosomal RNA, 253 nt
Filed under: uncultured bacterium
Lineage: Bacteria
Description: partial 16S ribosomal RNA
Rfam family: Bacterial small subunit ribosomal RNA
Source: RNAcentral